CGGUAAUUCCAGCUCCAAUAGCGUAUGCUAAAAUUGUUGCGGUUAAAACGCUCGUAGUUGUACGUUCCUCCAGGGCACUCGGAUUUUUCGUACAGAAGGUUCCGAGUGGUCUGUGAAAUUAUCUUACAAAGCGGUCUCUUGCUGAGCACGCGGAAAGGGAUACUUGUACCUUGAAGAAAUUAGAGUGCUUCAGGCAGAUUAUUGUCUGAAUAUUAUAGCAUGGAAUAGCUGGAGAAGACACUGGUUCUAUUAGAGAUUUGUAGAGCAGGUGUAAUAGUUGAGAGGAACAGAAGGGGGCAUUCAUAUUCGCAUGUGAGAGGUGGAAUUCUUGGAUCUUGCGAAGGUGGACUACUGCGAAAGCAUUUGUCAAGAAUGUUUUCAUUAAUCAAGAACGAAAGUUAGGGGAUCGAAGACGAUUAGAUACCGUCCUAGUCUUAACCAUAAACCAUGCCUUUUGGAGAUUAGGUGAACCUCGAACGCAGAGGAUUCUGGCAUCCUAGGGGAAACUAAAAUUUUUGGGUUCCGGGGGGAGUAUGGUCGCAAGACUGAAACUUAAAGGAAUUGACGGAAGGGCACCACCAGGAGUGGAGCUUGCGGCUUAAUUUGACUCAACGCGAGAAAUCUCACCAGGUCCAGACAUGGGAAGGAUUGACAGAGAAGCAGCUUUUUCUCGAUUACAUGGGUGGUGGUGCAUGGCCGUUCUCAGUUGGUGGGGUGAUCUGUCUGGUUGAUUCCGAUAACGAACGAGACCUCGACCUACUAAAUAAUUAGCACUUUGCUGUAAGUGAUGAUUUCUUAGAGGGACUUUUCGUGUCCAACGAAAGGAAGUAUGGGGCUAUAACAGGUCUGUGUUGCCCUUAGAUGUUCUGGGCUGCACGCGCGCUACACUGACAUAGACAGAGAGAUGUUCCUAUCCGAGGGGAGUGGAGAAACUUGAGAGGAUAUGUCGUGAUGGGGAUAGUUUAUUGCAAUUAUUGAACUUAAACGAGGAAUUCCUAGUAAGCGUAUGGAAUGAACUUACGCUGAUUACGUCCCUGCCCCUUGUACACACCGCCC
RNAcentral lists this ribosomal RNA (1056 nucleotides) under uncultured eukaryote. Its description in RNAcentral is "SSU rRNA". It matches the Rfam family "Eukaryotic small subunit ribosomal RNA", at positions 577 to 1674 of the family's 1831-position model. The record is from RNAcentral.